RNAcentral lists this ribosomal RNA (401 nucleotides) under uncultured bacterium. Its description in RNAcentral is "bacterial SSU rRNA". It matches the Rfam family "Bacterial small subunit ribosomal RNA", at positions 104 to 507 of the family's 1533-position model. The record is from RNAcentral.
GGGUGAGUAAACGCGUUGAGGAAACCUGGCCUCUCAUGGGGGGACAACAGUUUGGAAACGACUGCUAAUACCGCAUAACGUUUUUCGGACCGCAUGAUCUGAAAACCAAAGCUUUAUGUGCUGAGAGAUGGCCUCGCGUCUGAUUAGCCUAAGUUGGUGGGGGUUAAACGGGCCCACCAAGGCGACGAUCAGUAGCCGGUCUGAGAGGAUGAACGGCCACAUUGGGACUGAGAUACGGCCCAGACUCCUACGGGAGGCAGCAGUGGGGAAUAUUGGGCAAUGGGGGAAACCCUGACCCAGCAACGCCGCGUGAAGGAAGAAGGCCCUCGGGUUGUAAACUUCUUUUACCCAGGGACGAAGAACGUGACGGUACCUGGAGAAAAGCGACGGCUAACUACGUG